UACGUAGGGUGCGAGCGUUAAUCGGAAUUACUGGGCGUAAAGCGUGCGCAGGCGGUUUUGUAAGCCAGAUGUGAAAGCCCCGGGCUCAACCUGGGAAUGGCAUUUGGGACUGCAAGGCUGGAGUUUGGCAGAGGAGACUGGAAUUCCUGGUGUAGCAGUGAAAUGCGUAGAUAUCAGGAGGAAUACCGAUGGCGAAGGCAGGUCUCUGGGCUAUAACUGACGCUGAGGAGCGAAAGCAUGGGGAGCGAACAGG
RNAcentral lists this ribosomal RNA (253 nucleotides) under uncultured bacterium. RNAcentral's name for it is "partial 16S ribosomal RNA". It matches the Rfam family "Bacterial small subunit ribosomal RNA", at positions 524 to 776 of the family's 1533-position model. The record is from RNAcentral.